RNAcentral lists this ribosomal RNA (471 nucleotides) under uncultured bacterium. Its description in RNAcentral is "SSU rRNA". It matches the Rfam family "Bacterial small subunit ribosomal RNA", at positions 26 to 518 of the family's 1533-position model. The record is from RNAcentral.
AGGAUGAACGCUGGCGGCGUGCCUAACACAUGCAAGUCGAACGUUAGGGUAUAGCAAUAUACCUGAAAGUGGCGGACGGGUGAGUAACACGUAGGUAACCUGCCGCGCAGAGGGGGAUAACGACUGGAAACGGUCGCUAACACCGCAUGGUACUACAGUGACGGGAGUCAGUGUGGUUAAAACCUUGGUGCUGCGCGAGGGGCCUGCGUCCGAUUAGUUAGUUGGUGAGGUAAUGGCUCACCAAGACGAUGAUCGGUAGCUGGUCUGAGAGGAUGAUCAGUCACACGGGAACUGAGACACGGUCCCGACUCCUACGGGGGGCAGCAGUGAGGAAUAUUGCACAAUGGACGCAAGUCUGAUGCAGCAACGCCGCGUGGAGGAUGAAGGCCUUGGGUCGUAACUCCUUUUUCAGGGAAGAGAGAGGACGGUACCUGAAGAAUAAGUCACGGCUAACUACGUGCCAGCAGCCGC